RNAcentral lists this ribosomal RNA (1433 nucleotides) under uncultured organism. RNAcentral's name for it is "SSU rRNA". It matches the Rfam family "Bacterial small subunit ribosomal RNA". The record is from RNAcentral.
AGGAUGAACGCUAGCUACAGGCUUAACACAUGCAAGUCGAGGGGCAGCAUGGUCUUAGCUUGCUAAGGCCGAUGGCGACCGGCGCACGGGUGAGUAACACGUAUCCAACCUGCCGUCUACUCUUGGACAGCCUUCUGAAAGGAAGAUUAAUACAAGAUGGCAUCAUGAGUCCGCAUGUUCACAUGAUUAAAGGUAUUCCGGUAGACGAUGGGGAUGCGUUCCAUUAGAUAGUAGGCGGGGUAACGGCCCACCUAGUCUUCGAUGGAUAGGGGUUCUGAGAGGAAGGUCCCCCACAUUGGAACUGAGACACGGUCCAAACUCCUACGGGAGGCAGCAGUGAGGAAUAUUGGUCAAUGGGCGAGAGCCUGAACCAGCCAAGUAGCGUGAAGGAUGACUGCCCUAUGGGUUGUAAACUUCUUUUAUAAAGGAAUAAAGUCGGGUAUGGAUACCCGUUUGCAUGUACUUUAUGAAUAAGGAUCGGCUAACUCCGUGCCAGCAGCCGCGGUAGUACGGAGGAUCCGAGCGUUAUCCGGAUUUAUUGGGUUUAAAGGGAGCGUAGAUGGAUGUUUAAGUCAGUUGCGAAAGUUUGCGGCUCAACCGUAAAAUUGCAGUUGAUACUGGAUAUCUUGAGUGCAGUUGAGGUAGGCGGAAUUCGUGGUGUAGCGGUGAAAUGCUUAGAUAUCACGAAGAACUCCGAUUGCGAAGGCAGCCUGCUAAGCUGCAACUGACAUUGAGGCUCGAAAGUGUGGGUAUCAAACAGGAUUAGAUACCCUGGUAGUCCACACGGUAAACGAUGAAUACUCGCUGUUUGCGAUAUACAGCAAGCGGCCAAGCGAAAGCGUUAAGUAUUCCACCUGGGGAGUACGCCGGCAACGGUGAAACUCAAAGGAAUUGACGGGGGCCCGCACAAGCGGAGGAACAUGUGGUUUAAUUCGAUGAUACGCGAGGAACCUUACCCGGGCUUAAAUUGCAGAUGAAUUACGGUGAAAGCCGUAAGCCGCAAGGCAUCUGUGAAGGUGCUGCAUGGUUGUCGUCAGCUCGUGCCGUGAGGUGUCGGCUUAAGUGCCAUAACGAGCGCAACCCUUGUUGUCAGUUACUAACAGGUUCCGCUGAGGACUCUGACAAGACUGCCAUCGUAAGAUGUGAGGAAGGUGGGGAUGACGUCAAAUCAGCACGGCCCUUACGUCCGGGGCUACACACGUGUUACAAUGGGGGGUACAGAGGGCCGCUACCACGCGAGUGGAUGCCAAUCCCCAAAACCUCUCUCAGUUCGGACUGGAGUCUGCAACCCGACUCCACGAAGCUGGAUUCGCUAGUAAUCGCGCAUCAGCCACGGCGCGGUGAAUACGUUCCCGGGCCUUGUACACACCGCCCGUCAAGCCAUGGGAGCCGGGGGUACCUGAAGUGCGUAACCGCGAGGAGCGCCCUAGGGU